RNAcentral lists this transfer RNA (75 nucleotides) under subsurface metagenome. RNAcentral's name for it is "tRNA-Met". It matches the Rfam family "tRNA". Rfam says of the family: Transfer RNA (tRNA) molecules are approximately 80 nucleotides in length. The record is from RNAcentral.
UCGCGGGGUAGAGCAGUGGUCAGCUCAUCGGCUUCAUAAGCCGAAGGUCGUGGGUUCGAAUCCCACCCCCGCUAG